Molecule: long non-coding RNA, 344 nt
Organism: Populus euphratica (Euphrates poplar)
Lineage: Eukaryota; Viridiplantae; Streptophyta; Magnoliopsida; Malpighiales; Salicaceae
Exons: 2
Source: RefSeq, a predicted model, not a curated record
UUAAUCUAACAUUGCAUUUAAACUUGUUUAAAUCUUAAAACUAGAAUACACAAUAAAGCACCCAGGCUAUGAAAAUCCAAACUUGGAUAAAAUGGGAAGAUUGUCCACCAGAAAAUAAUAGCAAUUAUUGUUGAUCACCUCAAUAAAGUACAACCAAGCUCGUCGCCAAUAUGGAUUUAUGUAUAGAACAGCACCUAUCACUAGCAGCGCCAUGAUGUAUGCAACCCCAAAGGUCACAUAGAAAACCUUCAUAUCCAUGAAGCCACCAUUAUCUUCAUUGUUCGUUGAAGUUGGUGUUGGUGAUGGUGGCAUAGCCGCACCACAUAUUUUGGCUAGCGGUUCUC